UCGGUUGAUCCUGCCGGACCUUACUGCUAUCGGGGUGGGACUAAGACAUGCGAGUCACGUGUCUCUAGCUAUGUUGAGACACGGCAGACGGCUCAGUAACGCGUGGCUAACCUGCCCUCAGGACGAAGAUAACCCCGGGAAACUGGGGAUAAUAUUCGAUAGGUGAGGAUGUCUGGAAUGACUUCUCUCCUAAAGGACCUAGAUACAUGCUUCUAUGUCGCCUGGGGAUGGGGCCGCGCCCGAUCAGGUUGUUGGUGAGGUAACGGCUCACCAAGCCUAUAACCGGUACGGGCCGUGAGAGCGGUAGCCCGGAGAUGGGUACUGAGACAAGGACCCAGGCCCUACGGGGCGCAGCAGUCGCGAAAACUCCGCAAUGCACGAAAGUGUGACGGGGCUACCCCGAGUGCCAUCCGCUGAGGAUGGCUUUUCUUUGGUAUAACUAGCCAUUGGAAUAAGGAGAGGGCAAGACUGGUGUCAGCCGCCGCGGUAAUACCAGCUCUCCGAGUGGUAGGGAUGAUUAUUGGGCUUAAAGCGUCCGUAGCCGGCUUAGCAAGUUUCCUGUUAAACCCAGCGACUCAAUCGUUGGAUCGCGGGAAAUACUACUAGGCUAGGAGGCGGGAGAGGUCAACGGUACUUCUGGGGUAGGGGUGAAAUCCUAUAAUCCCGGGAGGACCACCAGUGGCGAAGGCUGUUGACUAGAACGCGCUCGACGGUGAGGGACGAAAGCUGGGGGAGCGAACCGGAUUAGAUACCCGGGUAGUCCCAGCUGUAAACGAUGCGAGCUAGGUGUUGGGAUGGCUACGGGCCAUUUCAGUGCCGCAGGGAAGCCAUUAAGCUCGCCGCCUGGGGAGUACGGCCGCAAGGCUGAAACUUAAAGGAAUUGGCGG
Molecule: ribosomal RNA, 887 nt
Filed under: uncultured archaeon
Lineage: Archaea
Description: bacterial SSU rRNA
Rfam family: Archaeal small subunit ribosomal RNA
Source: RNAcentral